CACUGGGUGUUACUUCUGAGAGGAGAUGAGGUCGCUGGGUGUUACUUCUGAGAGGAGAUGAGGUCACUGGGUGUCACAUCCCAGAGGAGACGAGGUCACUGGGUGUUACUUCUGAGAGGAGAUGAGGUCGCUGGGUGUUAC
This is a microRNA precursor of Equus caballus (horse), 141 nucleotides long. Lineage: Eukaryota; Metazoa; Chordata; Mammalia; Perissodactyla; Equidae. The record is from Ensembl.